RNAcentral lists this ribosomal RNA (335 nucleotides) under Streptomyces sp. ATCC 23962. RNAcentral's name for it is "bacterial SSU rRNA". It matches the Rfam family "Bacterial small subunit ribosomal RNA", at positions 56 to 395 of the family's 1533-position model. The record is from RNAcentral. Lineage: Bacteria; Bacillati; Actinomycetota; Actinomycetes; Kitasatosporales; Streptomycetaceae.
UGCAAGUCGAACGAUGAAGCCCUUCGGGGUGGAUUAGUGGCGAACGGGUGAGUAACACGUGGGCAAUCUGCCCUUCACUCUGGGACAAGCCCUGGAAACGGGGUCUAAUACCGGAUAACACUCUGUCCCGCAUGGGACGGGGUUAAAAGCUCCGGCGGUGAAGGAUGAGCCCGCGGCCUAUCAGCUUGUUGGUGGGGUAAUGGCCUACCAAGGCGACGACGGGUAGCCGGCCUGAGAGGGCGACCGGCCACACUGGGACUGAGACACGGCCCAGACUCCUACGGGAGGCAGCANUGGGGAAUAUUGCACAAUGGGCGAAAGCCUGAUGCAGCGAC